UGGGGCGUAGCCAAGUGGUAAGGCAACGGUUUUUGGUAUCGUCAUUCGGUGGUUCGAAUCCAUCCGCCCCAGCCA
This 75-nucleotide transfer RNA is filed under the name Rickettsia sp. RNAcentral describes it as "tRNA-Gln". It matches the Rfam family "tRNA". Rfam says of the family: Transfer RNA (tRNA) molecules are approximately 80 nucleotides in length. Their secondary structure includes four short double-helical elements and three loops (D, anti-codon, and T loops). The record is from RNAcentral. Lineage: Bacteria; Pseudomonadati; Pseudomonadota; Alphaproteobacteria; Rickettsiales; Rickettsiaceae. RNAcentral also lists the same sequence under 9 other names.